RNAcentral lists this ribosomal RNA (464 nucleotides) under uncultured bacterium. Its description in RNAcentral is "bacterial SSU rRNA". It matches the Rfam family "Bacterial small subunit ribosomal RNA", at positions 330 to 792 of the family's 1533-position model. The record is from RNAcentral.
ACCAGACUCCUACGGGAGGCAGCAGUGAGGAAUAUUGGUCAAUGGGCGCGAGCCUGAACCAGCCAAGUCGCGUGAGGGAAGACGGUCCUAUGGAUUGUAAACCUCUUUUGUCGGGGAGCAAAAGACGCCACGCGUGGCGUUCCGAGAGUACCCGAAGAAAAAGCAUCGGCUAACUCCGUGCCAGCAGCCGCGGUAAUACGGAGGAUGCGAGCGUUAUCCGGAUUUAUUGGGUUUAAAGGGUGCGCAGGCGGAAUGUCAAGUCAGCGGUAAAAUUUCGGGGCUCAACCCCGUCGUGCCGUUGAAACUGGCGUUCUUGAGUGGAAGAGAAGUAUGCGGAAUGCGUGGUGUAGCGGUGAAAUGCAUAGAUAUCACGCAGAACCCCGAUUGCGAAGGCAGCAUGCCGGCUUCCGACUGACGCUGAAGCACGAAAGCGUGGGGAUCGAACAGGAUUAGAUACCCCAGUA